RNAcentral lists this ribosomal RNA (492 nucleotides) under uncultured bacterium. RNAcentral's name for it is "partial 16S ribosomal RNA". It matches the Rfam family "Bacterial small subunit ribosomal RNA", at positions 28 to 507 of the family's 1533-position model. The record is from RNAcentral.
AGUGAACGCUGGCGGUAGGCUUAACACAUGCAAGUCGAACGGCAGCACAGUAAGCUCUUGCUCUGACGGGUGGCGGGUGACGGGCGGGUGAUGCGUACAUCGCCAUCUACUUUUUCGGGGGGGAUAACGUAGGGCAACUUACGCUACUACCUCAUACGUCCUACGGGUUGGAGCAGUGUAUCUUCGGACUUUGCGGGUUUGAAUGAGCCGAUGUCGGAUUAGCUAGUUGGCGGGGUAAAGGCCCACCAAGGCGACGAUCCGUAGCUGGUCUGAGAGGGUGGUCGCCGGCACUGGAACGGGGACACGGUCCAGACUCCUACGGGAGGGAGCAGUGGGGAAUAUGGGACAAUGGGGGGAAGCCUGGUCCAGCCAGACCGCGUGUGAGAAGGAGGCCUUCGGGUUGUAAAGACGUUUUGUGGGGAAAGAAAAGCAGCAGGUUAAUACCCAGCGGUUGUGACGGUACGUAAAGAAUAAGCACCGGCUAACUUCGUG